RNAcentral lists this ribosomal RNA (505 nucleotides) under uncultured bacterium. Its description in RNAcentral is "partial 16S ribosomal RNA". It matches the Rfam family "Bacterial small subunit ribosomal RNA", at positions 28 to 507 of the family's 1533-position model. The record is from RNAcentral.
GACGAACGCUGGCGGCGUGCCUAAUACAUGCAAGUAGAACGCACAGUUUAUACCGUAGCUUGCUACACCAUAGACUGUGAGUUGCGAACGGGUGAGUAACGCGUAGGUAACCUGCCUGGUAGCGGGGGAUAACUAUUGGAAACGAUAGCUAAUACCGCAUAAUAUUGAUUAUUGCAUGAUAAUUAAUUGAAAGGUGCAAUUGCACCACUACCAGAUGGACCUGCGUUGUAUUAGCUAGUAGGUGAGGUAACGGCUCACCUAGGCGACGAUACAUAGCCGACCUGAGAGGGUGAUCGGCCACACUGGGACUGGGACACGGCCCAGACUCCUACGGGAGGCAGCAGUAGGGAAUCUUCGGCAAUGGACGAAAGGCUGACCGAGCAACGGCGCGUGAGUGAAGAAGGUUUUCGGAUCGUAAAGCUCUGUUGUAAGGGAAGAACGGGUGUGAGAGUGGAAAGUUCACACUGUGACGGUAUCUGACCAGAAAGGGACGGCUAACUACGUG